GGAAGUAAAAGUCGUAACAAGGUUUCCGUAGGUGAACCUGCGGAAGGAUCAUUAACGAGUUAGGGUCUCCAAGGCCCGACCUCCCAACCCUUUGUUUACCAAACCAUUUUGUUGCUUCGGCGAGCCCGUCUUCACGGACCGCCGGGGGACCCCUAACAGAGUCUCCUGGCCCGCGCUCGCCGGUGGCCCCGAUCAAAUUCUUAACUAAACGUGUUUUGACUGAGUACCAAUUUAUUAAAUUAAAAGCAAAACUUUCAACAACGGAUCUCUUGGUUCUGGCAUCGAUGAAGAACGCAGCGAAAUGCGAUAAGUAAUGCGAAUUGCAGAAUUCCAGUGAGUCAUCGAAUCUUUGAACGCACAUUGCGCCCUUUGGUAUUCCGAAGGGCAUGCCUGUUCGAGCGUCAUUAUCACCCCUCAAGCCCCCGGGCUUGGUGUUGGACGGUUUGGUGGAGGCCCCCCUCGUCGGGGUCGCUGCCCCUCCCAAAGACAAUGACGGCGGCCUCGUUGGACCCCCGGUACACUGAGUUCUUCACGGGACACGUACUGGACACAAGGGUGCGCGGGGCACGGUCUGCCUCCCCUCUAGGGAGAAUUAUCUCAAGGUUGACCUCGGAUCAGGUAGGGAUACCCGCUGAACUUAAGCAUAUCAAUAAGCGGAGGA
Molecule: unclassified non-coding RNA, 661 nt
Filed under: Veronaea botryosa
Lineage: Eukaryota; Fungi; Ascomycota; Eurotiomycetes; Chaetothyriales; Herpotrichiellaceae
Description: partial contains small subunit rRNA, ITS1, 5.8S rRNA, ITS2 and large subunit rRNA
Rfam family: 5.8S ribosomal RNA (bases 250-404)
Source: RNAcentral